GCGCCGGUGCUGUAAUGGCGUAGAGCAUUCCCGCCCGGUUAGAGGGAGGUGCGGGUUCGAGUCCCGCCUGGCGCU
Molecule: non-coding RNA, 75 nt
Organism: Heligmosomoides polygyrus
Lineage: Eukaryota; Metazoa; Nematoda; Chromadorea; Rhabditida; Heligmosomidae
Source: Rfam